This 95-nucleotide transfer RNA is filed under the name Candidatus Methylomirabilota bacterium. Its description in RNAcentral is "tRNA-Ser". It matches the Rfam family "tRNA". Rfam says of the family: Transfer RNA (tRNA) molecules are approximately 80 nucleotides in length. Their secondary structure includes four short double-helical elements and three loops (D, anti-codon, and T loops). Further hydrogen bonds mediate the characteristic L-shaped molecular structure. tRNAs have two regions of fundamental functional importance: the anti-codon, which is responsible for specific mRNA codon recognition, and the 3' end, to which the tRNAs corresponding amino acid is attached (by aminoacyl-tRNA synthetases). tRNAs cope with the degeneracy of the genetic code in two manners: having more than one tRNA (with a specific anti-codon) for a particular amino acid; and 'wobble' base-pairing, i.e. permitting non-standard base-pairing at the 3rd anti-codon position. RNAcentral also lists the same sequence under 2 other names. The record is from RNAcentral. Lineage: Bacteria; Methylomirabilota (SeqCode).
GGAGAGGUGGCCGAGUCAGGCUUAAGGCAGCCGCCUGCUAAGCGGUUGUAGGGUGAUGAGCUCUACCCCGGGUUCGAAUCCCGGCCUCUCCGCCA